UACGUAGGGGGCAAGCGUUGUCCGGAAUUAUUGGGCGUAAAGAGCGCGUAGGCGGUCUGAUAAGUCGGUUGUGAAAGUCGGGGGCUCAACCCUCGGAUGCCGAUCGAUACUGUCAGGCUAGAGUCCGGAAGAGGCGAGUGGAAUUCCUGGUGUAGCGGUGAAAUGCGCAGAUAUCAGGAGGAACACCAAUGGCGAAGGCAGCUCGCUGGGACGGUACUGACGCUGAGACGCGAAAGCGUGGGGAGCGAACAGG
This 253-nucleotide ribosomal RNA is filed under the name uncultured bacterium. RNAcentral describes it as "partial 16S ribosomal RNA". It matches the Rfam family "Bacterial small subunit ribosomal RNA", at positions 524 to 776 of the family's 1533-position model. The record is from RNAcentral.